AGAAUCAACGCUGGCGGCGUGCCUAACACAUGCAAGUCGAUCGAGAAAGUGGAGCAAUCCAUGAGUAAAGAGGCGCACGGGUGAGUAACACGUGACUAACCUACCUUCGAGUGGGGAAUAAACCUGGGGAAACCCGGGCUAAUACCGCAUAAUACCUACGGGUCAAAGGAGCAAUUCGCUUGAAGAGGGGGCCGCGGCAGAUUAGUUAGUUGGCGGGGUAAUGGCCCACCAAGACGAUGAUCUGUA
RNAcentral lists this ribosomal RNA (246 nucleotides) under uncultured bacterium. Its description in RNAcentral is "partial small subunit ribosomal RNA". It matches the Rfam family "Bacterial small subunit ribosomal RNA", at positions 26 to 285 of the family's 1533-position model. The record is from RNAcentral.